RNAcentral lists this ribosomal RNA (429 nucleotides) under uncultured bacterium. RNAcentral describes it as "bacterial SSU rRNA". It matches the Rfam family "Bacterial small subunit ribosomal RNA", at positions 355 to 776 of the family's 1533-position model. The record is from RNAcentral.
UGGGGAAUAUUGGACAAUGGGGGCAACCCUGAUCCAGCGAUGCCGCGUGGGUGAAGAAGGCCUUCGGGUUGUAAAGCCCUUUAGGUUGGGAAGAAGUGUAGUAGUUGAUAAGGCUAUUACAUUGACGGUACCGACAGAAUAAGCACCGGCAAACUCUGUGCCAGCAGCCGCGGUAAUACAGAGGGUGCGAGCGUUAAUCGGAGUUACUGGGCGUAAAGGGCGCGUAGGCGGUUAUGUGUGAGUGAUGUGAAAGCCCUGGGCUUAACCUAGGAAGUGCAUCGCAAACUACAUAGCUGGAGUACAAGAGAGGGUGGCGGAAUUUCCGGUGUAGCGGUGAAAUGCGUAGAUAUCGGAAGGAACGUCGAUGGCGAAGGCAGCCACCUGGCUUGAUACUGACGCUGAGGCGCGAAAGCGUGGGGAGCGAACAGG